AUAGCUCUGGGAACGAUGUGGGAGGCUAGACAGCUAGGAGGUUGGCUUAGAAGCAGCCACCCUUUAAAGAAAGCGUAAUAGCUCACUAGUCGAGUCGGCCUGCGCGGAAGAUUUACCGGGGCUAAGCAAUGUACCGAAGCUGCGGAUGCACUAUUCUUCGGAAUGAGUGCAUGGUAGAGGAGCGUUCUGUAGGCUGAUGAAGGUGAACUGUAAGGUUUGCUGGAGGUAUCAGAAGUGCGAAUGCUGACAUAAGUAACGAUAAAGAGGGUGAAAGACCCUCUCGCCGAAAACCCAAGGUUUCCUGCUCUACGUUAAUCGGAGCAGGGUGAGUCGGCCCCUAAGGCGAGGCAGAGAUGCGUAGUCGAUGGGAAACUGGUUAAUAUUCCAGUGCUUUUUAUAACUGCGAUGGGGAGACGGAGAAAGCUAUAUCAGCCUGGUGAUGGUUAUCCAGGUUUAAGCUGGUAGGGAGUUGAAUUAGGAAAAUCCGGUUCAACAUGAAUCCCGAGAAGUGAUGACGAGGCACCAAGGUGCUGAAGUGAUAGAUGCUCUGCUUCCAGGAAAAUCCUCUAAGCUUCAGGUUAUGAAAAACCGUACCCCAAACCGACACAGGUGGGUGGGAUGAGAAUUCUAAGGCGCUUGAGAGAACUCGGGUUAAGGAACUAGGCAAAUUAGCACCGUAACUUCGGAAGAAGGUGUGCCCAAAAGUGUGAACUCCUCGCGAGGUAAGCACAUGAGGGUUGCAGUGAAAUGGUGGCUGCGACUGUUUAUUAAAAACAUAGCACUCUGCGAACACGAAAGUGGAAGUAUAGGGUGUGACGCCUGCCCGGUGCCGGAAGGUUAAUUGAUGGGGUUAGCACUUGUGCGAAGCUCUUGAUCGAAGCCCCGGUAAACGGCGGCCGUAACUAUAACGGUCCUAAGGUAGCGAAAUUCCUUGUCGGGUAAGUUCCGACCUGCACGAAUGGCGUAACGAUGGCCACACUGUCUCAACCCGAGACUCAGUGAAAUUGAACUUGCUGUGAAGAUGCAGUAUACCCGCGGCUAGACGGAAAGACCCCGUGCACCUUUACUACAGCUUUGCACUGAACUUUGAACCUACCUGUGUAGGAUAGCUGGGAGGCUUUGAAACUUGGACGCUAGUUCAGGUGGAGCCACACUUGAAAUACCAGCCUGGUAUGUUGAGGUCUAACCUAGGCCCCUAACGGUGACCG
RNAcentral lists this ribosomal RNA (1208 nucleotides) under bacterium symbiont of Thyasira sp. Guiness. RNAcentral describes it as "bacterial LSU rRNA". It matches the Rfam family "Bacterial large subunit ribosomal RNA", at positions 1055 to 2247 of the family's 2925-position model. The record is from RNAcentral.